GGCCUUGACAUACUAAGAACUUUCCAGAGAUGGAUUGGUGCCUUCGGGAACUUAGAUACAGGUGCUGCAUGGCUGUCGUCAGCUCGUGUCGUGAGAUGUUGGGUUAAGUCCCGCAACGAGCGCAACCCUUUUCCUUAUUUGCCAGCGGGUUAAGCCGGGAACUUUAAGGAUACUGCCAGUGACAAACUGGAGGAAGGCGGGGACGACGUCAAGUCAUCAUGGCCCUUACGGCCAGGGCUACACACGUGCUACAAUGGUCGGUACAAAGGGUUGCUACCUCGCGAGAGGAUGCUAAUCUCAAAAAGCCGAUCGUAGUCCGGAUCGCAGUCUGCAACUCGACUGCGUGAAGUCGGAAUCGCUAGUAAUCGCGGAUCAGAAUGCCGCGGUGAAUACGUUCCCGGGCCUUGUACACACCGCCCGUCACACCAUGGGAGUUUGUUGCACCAGAAGUAGGUAGUCUAACCGCAAGGAGGACGCUUACCACGGUGUGGCCGAUGACUGGGGUGAAGUCGUAACAAGGUAAGCGUAGAUGA
RNAcentral lists this ribosomal RNA (533 nucleotides) under uncultured bacterium. RNAcentral describes it as "bacterial SSU rRNA". It matches the Rfam family "Bacterial small subunit ribosomal RNA", at positions 977 to 1509 of the family's 1533-position model. The record is from RNAcentral.